Molecule: ribosomal RNA, 585 nt
Filed under: uncultured bacterium
Lineage: Bacteria
Description: partial 16S ribosomal RNA
Rfam family: Bacterial small subunit ribosomal RNA
Source: RNAcentral
UGGGGAAUUUUGGACAAUGGGCGAAAGCCUGAUCCAGCAAUGCCGCGUGUGUGAAGAAGGCCUUCGGGUUGUAAAGCACUUUUGUCCGGAAAGAAAUCCUUGGCUCUAAUACAGUCGGGGGAUGACGGUACCGGAAGAAUAAGCACCGGCUAACUACGUGCCAGCAGCCGCGGUAAUACGUAGGGUGCAAGCGUUAAUCGGAAUUACUGGGCGUAAAGCGUGCGCAGGCGGUUUGCUAAGACCGAUGUGAAAUCCCCGGGCUUAACCUGGGAACUGCAUUUGUGACUGGCGGGCUAGAGUAUGGCAGAGGGGGGUAGAAUUCCACGUGUAGCAGUGAAAUGCGUAGAGAUGUGGAGGAAUACCGAUGGCGAAGGCAGCCCCCUGGGCCAAUACUGACGCUCAUGCACGAAAGCGUGGGGAGCAAACAGGAUUAGAUACCCUGGUAGUCCACGCCCUAAACGAUGUCAACUAGUUGUCGGUCUUCAUUGACUUGGUAACGUAGCUAACGCGUGAAGUUGACCGCCUGGGGAGUACGGUCGCAAGAUUAAAACUCAAAUGAAUUGACGGGGUCAUAGCUGUUUCCUG